GAUGAACGCUGGCGGCGUGCCUAAUACAUGCAAGUCGAGCGAACGGACGAGAAGCUUGCUUCUCUGAUGUUAGCGGCGGACGGGUGAGUAACACGUGGAUAACCUACCUAUAAGACUGGGAUAACUUCGGGAAACCGGAGCUAAUACCGGAUGAUAUUUUGAACCGCAUGGUUCAAAAGUGAAAGACGGUCUUGCUGUCACUUAUAGAUGGAUCCGCGCUGCAUUAGCUAGUUGGUAAGGUAACGGCUUACCAAGGCAACGAUGCAUAGCCGACCUGAGAGGGUGAUCGGCCACACUGGAACUGAGACACGGUCCAGACUCCUACGGGAGGCAGCAGUAGGGAAUCUUCCGCAAUGGGCGAAAGCCUGACGGAGCAACGCCGCGUGAGUGAUGAAGGUCUUCGGAUCGUAAAACUCUGUUAUUAGGGAAGAACAUAUGUGUAAGUAACUGUGCACAUCUUGACGGUACCUAAUCAGAAAGCCACGGCUAACUACGUGCCAGCAGCCGCGGUAAUACGUAGGUGGCAAGCGUUAUCCGGAAUUAUUGGGCGUAAAGCGCGCGUAGGCGGUUUUUUAAGUCUGAUGUGAAAGCCCACGGCUCAACCGUGGAGGGUCAUUGGAAACUGGAAAACUUGAGUGCAGAAGAGGAAAGUGGAAUUCCAUGUGUAGCGGUGAAAUGCGCAGAGAUAUGGAGGAACACCAGUGGCGAAGGCGACUUUCUGGUCUGUAACUGACGCUGAUGUGCGAAAGCGUGGGGAUCAAACAGGAUUAGAUACCCUGGUAGUCCACGCCGUAAACGAUGAGUGCUAAGUGUUAGGGGGUUUCCGCCCCUUAGUGCUGCAGCUAACGCAUUAAGCACUCCGCCUGGGGAGUACGACCGCAAGGUUGAAACUCAAAGGAAUUGACGGGGACCCGCACAAGCGGUGGAGCAUGUGGUUUAAUUCGAAGCAACGCGAAGAACCUUACCAAAUCUUGACAUCCUUUGACAACUCUAGAGAUAGAGCCUUCCCCUUCGGGGGACAAAGUGACAGGUGGUGCAUGGUUGUCGUCAGCUCGUGUCGUGAGAUGUUGGGUUAAGUCCCGCAACGAGCGCAACCCUUAAGCUUAGUUGCCAUCAUUAAGUUGGGCACUCUAAGUUGACUGCCGGUGACAAACCGGAGGAAGGUGAGGAUGACGUCAAAUCAUCAUGCCCCUUAUGAUUUGGGCUACACACGUGCUACAAUGGACAAUACAAAGGGCAGCGAAACCGCGAGGUCAAGCAAAUCCCAUAAAGUUGUUCUCAGUUCGGAUUGUAGUCUGCAACUCGACUACAUGAAGCUGGAAUCGCUAGUAAUCGUAGAUCAGCAUGCUACGGUGAAUACGUUCCCGGGUCU
RNAcentral lists this ribosomal RNA (1372 nucleotides) under uncultured bacterium. RNAcentral's name for it is "bacterial SSU rRNA". It matches the Rfam family "Bacterial small subunit ribosomal RNA", at positions 28 to 1381 of the family's 1533-position model. The record is from RNAcentral.